GGUGAACGCUGGCGGUAGGCCUAACACAUGCAAGUCGAACGGCAGCACAGUAAGAGCUUGCUCUUACGGGUGGCGAGUGGCGGACGGGUGAGGAAUACAUCGGAAUCUACUUUUUCGUGGGGGAUAACGUAGGGAAACUUACGCUAAUACCGCAUACGACCUACGGGUGAAAGCAGGGGAUCUUCGGACCUUGCGCGAUUGAAUGAGCCGAUGUCGGAUUAGCUAGUUGGCGGGGUAAAGGCCCACCAAGGCGACGAUCCGUAGCUGGUCUGAGAGGAUGAUCAGCCACACUGGAACUGAGACACGGUCCAGACUCCUACGGGAGGCAGCAGUGGGGAAUAUUGGACAAUGGGCGCAAGCCUGAUCCAGCCAUACCGCGUGGGUGAAGAAGGCCUUCGGGUUGCAAAGCCCUUUUGUUGGGAAAGAAAAGCAGCAGGUUAAUACCCCGCUGUUCUGACGGUACCCAAAGAAUAAGCACCGGCUAACUUCGUG
RNAcentral lists this ribosomal RNA (492 nucleotides) under uncultured bacterium. RNAcentral describes it as "partial 16S ribosomal RNA". It matches the Rfam family "Bacterial small subunit ribosomal RNA", at positions 28 to 507 of the family's 1533-position model. The record is from RNAcentral.